UAUUGGACAAUGGGCGAAAGCCUGAUCCAGCAAUGCCGCGUGAGUGAUGAAGGCCUUAGGGUUGUAAAGCUCUUUUACCCGGGAUGAUAAUGACAGUACCGGGAGAAUAAGCUCCGGCUAACUCCGUGCCAGCAGCCGCGGUAAUACGGAGGGAGCUAGCGUUGUUCGGAAUUACUGGGCGUAAAGCGCACGUAGGCGGCUUUGUAAGUUAGAGGUGAAAGCCUGGAGCUCAACUCCAGAAUUGCCUUUGAUACUGCAUCGCUUGAAUCCAGGAGAGGUGAGUGGAAUUCCGAGUGUAGAGGUGAAAUUCGUAGAUAUUCGGAAGAACACCAGUGGCGAAGGCGGCUCACAGGUGACUGGUAUUGACGCGAGGGCGAAA
This 379-nucleotide ribosomal RNA is filed under the name uncultured bacterium. Its description in RNAcentral is "bacterial SSU rRNA". It matches the Rfam family "Bacterial small subunit ribosomal RNA", at positions 362 to 758 of the family's 1533-position model. The record is from RNAcentral.